This 498-nucleotide ribosomal RNA is filed under the name uncultured bacterium. RNAcentral describes it as "bacterial SSU rRNA". It matches the Rfam family "Bacterial small subunit ribosomal RNA", at positions 28 to 507 of the family's 1533-position model. The record is from RNAcentral.
GACGAACGCUGGCGGCGUGCCUAAUACAUGCAAGUCAAGCGGAAUUUAGAAAGCUUGCUUUUUAAGUUUAGCGGCGGACGGGCGAGUAACACGUGGGCAACCUGCCUAUAAGACUGGGAUAACUUCGGGAAACCGGAGCUAAUACCGGAUAAUAUAAAAGAUCAUAUGGUCUUUUAUUGAAAGAUGGCUUCGGCUAUCACUUAUAGAUGGGCCCGCGGCGCAUUAGCUAGUUGGUGAGGUAAUGGCUCACCAAGGCGACGAUGCGUAGCCGACCUGAGAGGGUGAUCGGCCACACUGGGACUGAGACACGGCCCAGACUCCUACGGGAGGCAGCAGUAGGGAAUCUUCCGCAAUGGACGAAAGUCUGACGGAGCAACGCCGCGUGAGCGAUGAAGGCCUUCGGGUCGUAAAGCUCUGUUGUUAGGGGAAGAACAAGCAUCGUUCGAAUAGGGCGGUACCUUGACGGUACCUAACCAGAAAGCCACGGCUAACUACGUG